RNAcentral lists this long non-coding RNA (1033 nucleotides) under Lynx pardinus (Iberian lynx). The record is from RNAcentral. Lineage: Eukaryota; Metazoa; Chordata; Mammalia; Carnivora; Felidae.
GCUCUCCCCUCCUGCUAAGCUUUGUUUCCUGGCAGUAAUUAAAACCUUCUGCCACUGCCAUAGCUACUGCUUUUGCUGGAACCAUCAUAGCCACUUUGGUUUUGUGGUUUGGCAAAGUAUUGGCCUCCACCACCAUAGGGGCCAGAGCUUCUGCCUCCAGAAUUUGAAGACUGACUGUUGUAAUUGCCAAAAUCAUUAUAGCUUCUGCCACCUCCAAAGUUGCUUCCAUCGAUACCAAAUCCGUUAUAGCCAUCCCCACUGCCACCAUCCACCAUCACUUCGACUGCCACCAAAGCCACCUCACCCACUGAAGUUUCCUCCACGGCCAAAGUUGUCAUUCCCACCAAAAACACCUCCAUGACCACCACCGAAGUUUCCAGAACCACUUCGACCUCUUUGGCUGGAGGAAGCACUAGCCAUCUCUUACUUAGAUGAAACUUUCCUUACUUUACGGUUGUGGCCAUUCACAGUAUGGUAUUUUUUGAAUGACGAUCUUGUCUACAGGGUCAUGGUCAUCAAACAUUACAAAAGCAAAGCCUCUCUUUUUGCCACUGCCUCGGCCAGUCAUGAUUUCAAUCACUUCAGUUUUCCCGUACUGUUCAAAAUAAUCUCUUAGAUGAUGUUCUUCAGUGUCUUCUUUAAUGCCACCGACAAAAAUCUUUUUCACAGUUAAGUGGGGACCAGGUGUUUGAGAAGCUUCUCUCGAGAUAGCCCUCUUUGGUUCUACUACUCUUCCAUCCACCUUGUGUGGCCUUGCAGUCAUGGCUGCAUCUGUCUCUUCCACAGUGGCCUACGUGACAAACCCAAAGCCUCCGGAGUGCUUGGUGUUUGGGUCUGUCGUUGCCACACAGUCCGUGAGCAUUCCCCAUUGCUCAGAAUGGCUCCUCAGACUCAUCCAUUGUCUCAAAGCUCAAACCUCUGAUGAAAACCUUCUGUGGCUUUUUAGGCUCUUUGGGAUACUCUGACUUAGACAUGACAGCGGUGGGAGGGGAGACUUUAAGGAUGCUUAAAGGCAGCAUCUACAGGCAGAAAG